Molecule: ribosomal RNA, 497 nt
Filed under: uncultured bacterium
Lineage: Bacteria
Description: partial 16S ribosomal RNA
Rfam family: Bacterial small subunit ribosomal RNA
Source: RNAcentral
GAUGAACGCUGGCGGCGUGCCUAAUACAUGCAAGUCGAGCGAACAGACCAGGAGCUUGCUCCUCUGACGUUAGCGGCGGACGGGUGAGUAACACGUGUAUAACCUACCUAUAAGACUGGGAUAACUUCGGGAAACCGGAUCUAAUACCGGAUAAUAUAUUGAACCGCAUGGUUCAAUAGUGAAAUACGGUUUUUCUGUCACUUAUAGAUGGAUCCGCGCCGCAUUAGCUAGUUGUUAAGGUAACGGCUUACCAAGGCAACGAUGCGUAGACGACCUGAGAGGGUGAUAGGCCACCUUGGAAGUGAGACACGGUCAAGACUCCUACGGGAGGCAGCAGUCGGGAAUCUUACGCAAUGGGGGAAAGCCUGACGGAGCAACGCCGCGUGAGUGAUGAAGGUGUUCGGAGCGUAAAACUCUGUUAUUAGGGAAGAACAAAUGUGUAAGUAACCAUGCAGGUAUUGACGGUACCGGAUCAGAAAGCCCCGGCUAACUACGUG